Oxyura jamaicensis (ruddy duck) is the source of this 537-nucleotide long non-coding RNA. RefSeq lists it as uncharacterized. The record is from RefSeq and is a predicted model, not a curated record. The transcript has 2 exons. NCBI's taxonomy places the organism in Eukaryota, Metazoa, Chordata, Aves, Anseriformes, Anatidae.
UAAAGAGAAAAGUGAGGAAGCAACUUAUGGUGCAUCCAAACAAAGCCAGCCAUAAAGAUCUUAUUAGUAGGGAAGACCAUAAAAUUGAAGAGUCUCACUUGACAUGGGAUGGACAGGAUCAGUUAAAUUAGGACACAGGCUAUACUACUUUUGUAAUCUGCACUCCUACUACAGAAUGACAGAUGCCACCUAUGACAAGAGCAAGAUAAUAAGCAGUUUCCCUACAUAAAAACGUCAGAGGGCGACUCACUGGAGUUUAGGAACAAGAGCAAAUGGCAAGGAAAAGGAACAUCUUAUCACUGCUCCCAAAGCAUCUGCAUCUGUUUCAUAAAACCCAGCUUCAGAAUGUGUUCUUUUUCCCAUACUGCAAUGACCUCCAGAAGACCCUCCCAACCUCAACCAUUCCACAAUUCUGUUUCCUGCAAACUGUUAAGCAUCUUCAUAAAACAUACUAACAGUGCCAUUGAUUAAACGUAUUCUUCUGAAUUCCACUUAAAGCCUUGCAUACAUAACAUAGCAAAGCAGGUUCAAUAAAAA